RNAcentral lists this long non-coding RNA (2132 nucleotides) under Linum usitatissimum (flax). Its description in RNAcentral is "long non-coding RNA (LUSI_LNC007555)". Lineage: Eukaryota; Viridiplantae; Streptophyta; Magnoliopsida; Malpighiales; Linaceae. The record is from RNAcentral.
GUGGUGGCCCCAGGUGAGAUUUCCAUACGUGUUAGCAGUUGAGUAGUUGAUUGGAAAAGAGAGGCCUUAUCCUAUCUUUUUCUCAGUUUUAAUUGCCUUGCUGGAAAUACCGAACCGAACCGACCCGACCCAUCCAGACUUCUGUAUUUGUUCAUCACACAUUUUUCAGCAGCAUCUGGUUCAAUGGAAAAUGAAUGAAUACACAGGAAAAAGUAACAAACUUCUUUUUAUUUCUAAGAGAAAGCAAGCAAGCAACCAUACAAUACAAUAUAACCCUAUCUUUCCUUCCUACUCCAACUUUUUAAAAGAAUUUCUCUACUCAUUCUUCUGCUAAGAUUCUUGUUAAAUCAAAGGAAGAAACUUCCACUCUGUUGCAGCCAAAAACAUCCUAUUUCUAAGCCUCUCCCCCCCAAAACACAUUUCUCUCUCUCUAUGUCAGCAUCAUCAUCGUCAUCGACUCCAUCCCAUAGAAACCUAAACAUCAAACUCACAAUAUAAUAUGUACAUUCCCCUUCCCCCCAGCCGAACCCAGAACCAGAAUCUUGCGCACCCCGCCUACUGCUCGAGUCCUGGCUGUACAGGGAUAUCUGUCUUCGGAAUGAAAAAUUUGAGUCCUUAAAAGUCAAUCUAUCUCAUUGCAGAAGAGGUGCUGCCUGUGUUUGAUGAUGAUUGUCUCUGACAUAAACAAUCUGGUAAAGGAUUCACAUAGAAGGAUUCCUCGGAACGAAACCUAUCCAUGCCUUUUGUUCCUGAGAUGGGACCUUUCCUCUUCCUUGGAGAUCCUUGUCUGUCCAACAAUCACAGCCAACCAAUAUCGAACACAAAUAAUGUUUCUCAGUGGUAUAACCAGUGAAAACAAGUUAGAAAGAUGAAGUUCUACAAAAAAAAUUAAAAGAGCAAUCUCAAUUUUAAAGGAAUGAGUGAACAGGCAUUCUGCCAUACCGUUUCUUGUGAAGUUCAACAACACGGCUUGAAAGAUUUCUGCCUUCUUUCAGUUUCCGUCUUUCAACUUUAUCGAAAAGACGAACAAGUGAUUUCCUGUUGCAGAAAAUCAAAUCAUUAAGGAACGACUUCAAUUCCAACAAAUUACCCAAAAAGAAAGUAAGCAAAAGCACAAGUACCUGUCAGGAGAAAUUGUUUUUCUAUGUCCCAAAUAACGACGAUGACCUUCAACUGCCCUUGCCAUGUUACCAGAGUAGGUUGGGAGGAAGACAGCACUUUCCACAGACACAAUAUAGUCAAGAGCAGCCAUUUGAGAAGCAUGAUUGCGAAAUGGUUCAAGCUCUUCAACUGAAGCCAAUUUUUCCUGUAACAUUAUCAUGAUAUGAAAUAUCAACAAGUCGGCCGUAGGAUAGCCAAAAAAAUUUAAACCAACGUAGCGCCUAACAAAGAGAGACCCCAUAAAAGGGAAGCACAUUCAUGAUAAAAUCUGACAGUAAACAUUGUUACACACAAUUAUAACUUGGCCAACAAGCUUAUCAUCCUAUUUCUAAGCCUCUCCCCCCCAAAACACAUUUCUCUCUCUCUAUGUCAGCAUCAUCAUCGUCAUCGACUCCAUCCCAUAGAAACCUAAACAUCAAACUCACAAUAUAAUAUGUACAUUCCCCUUCCCCCCAGCCGAACCCAGAACCAGAAUCUUGCGCACCCCGCCUACUGCUCGAGUCCUGGCUGUACAGGGAUAUCUGUCUUCGGAAUGAAAAAUUUGAGUCCUUAAAAGUCAAUCUAUCUCAUUGCAGAAGAGGUGCUGCCUGUGUUUGAUGAUGAUUGUCUCUGACAUAAACAAUCUGGUAAAGGAUUCACAUAGAAGGAUUCCUCGGAACGAAACCUAUCCAUGCCUUUUGUUCCUGAGAUGGGACCUUUCCUCUUCCUUGGAGAUCCUUGUCUGUCCAACAAUCACAGCCAACCAAUAUCGAACACAAAUAAUGUUUCUCAGUGGUAUAACCAGUGAAAACAAGUUAGAAAGAUGAAGUUCUACAAAAAAAAUUAAAAGAGCAAUCUCAAUUUUAAAGGAAUGAGUGAACAGGCAUUCUGCCAUACCGUUUCUUGUGAAGUUCAACAACACGGCUUGAAAGAUUUCUGCCUUCUUUCAGUUUCCGUCUUUCAACUUUAUCGAAAAGACGAACAAGUGAUUU